GUAAUGGCAGGUCAGCAUACUGCCGUGAAUACGUUCCCGGGCCUUGUACACACCGCCCGUCACACCAUGAGAGUUGGAGAUACCCGAAGCCUAUGAGCUAACUUUAGAGGCAGUAGUCGAAGGUAGAAUCAAUGAUUGGGGUGAAGUCGUAACAAGGUAGC
Molecule: ribosomal RNA, 161 nt
Filed under: uncultured bacterium
Lineage: Bacteria
Description: partial 16S ribosomal RNA
Rfam family: Bacterial small subunit ribosomal RNA
Source: RNAcentral